GGGAGAGGUGUGGGGAGCUCUGCUUCAGCUGUGGGGCCUCAGGAGGCAGGACUCAGGGAUGACCUCCACCAUGGCCUGGGCCCCUCUCCUCCUCACCCUCCUGGCUCACUGCACAGGAUCCUGGGCCCAGUCUGUGCUGACUCAGCCAUCCUCAGUGUCGGGGUCCCCGGGCCAGAGGGUCACCAUCUCCUGCACUGGAAGUAGCACCAACGUUGGGUAUGGUGACUAUGUGUCCUGGUACCAGCAGCUCCCAGGAAAGGCCCCCAAACUCCUCAUCUAUCAGAGUAGCAAACGACCCACAGGGAUUCCGGACCGAUUCUCUGGCUCCAGGUCUGGCAGCUCAGCCUCCCUGACCAUCACGGGGCUGCAGGCUGAGGACGAGGCCGACUAUUACUGCCAGUCAUACGAGAGCAGUAUCGACGGUCCCACAGUGCUGCAGGCCUGUGGGGAA
Non-coding RNA from Myotis brandtii (Brandt's bat), 451 nucleotides. The record is from the annotation of a RefSeq genome assembly. Lineage: Eukaryota; Metazoa; Chordata; Mammalia; Chiroptera; Vespertilionidae.